AAAAAAGAAAUAGUUACUGGAUUAUGAUUUUUUUUUUUUUUUUUCUU
RNAcentral lists this non-coding RNA (47 nucleotides) under Karenia brevis. The record is from RNAcentral. Lineage: Eukaryota; Dinophyceae; Gymnodiniales; Kareniaceae.